This 108-nucleotide microRNA precursor is filed under the name Cicer arietinum (chickpea). The record is from RNAcentral. Lineage: Eukaryota; Viridiplantae; Streptophyta; Magnoliopsida; Fabales; Fabaceae.
AAAAUAGAGUGCAGCCAAGGAUGACUUGCCGGAAUAUAUAUAUAUAUCUAUAUAAAAUAUAGUAUUUUUUUUCUUCGGCAAGUUGUUUUUGGCUAUAUUUUGUUUUCU